This is a long non-coding RNA of Mizuhopecten yessoensis (Yesso scallop), 924 nucleotides long. RefSeq lists it as uncharacterized. The record is from RefSeq and is a predicted model, not a curated record. NCBI's taxonomy places the organism in Eukaryota, Metazoa, Mollusca, Bivalvia, Pectinida, Pectinidae. The transcript has 4 exons.
GUUUUCCCACAAAGAGUGAGGUUCUUGCGAACAUGAUGGGCUAGAGCGAGGUUAGGAGGACUCCCCGGGAUCGAUGUAUUCCAUACCAUUCUGGCCGGAAAUGACGAACUCGAUAGGGGCUUCGCCGACGACUUGCGAAAUGGGAAGAACAUCUUGAUAAUAUGUAUUCUCUACAGCUGUCUGUGUUGGAGGUACAUAUUGAAAGAUCGUGAAAGAUUGGGUCCAGUUAGCUUGCUUGUACGAUUUCACCAUGCGGAGGAGACUUUCCUUUUCACCGUCGACGAUAGAUCAAUCACUUACGUCGCAAUAGGUUCAAUCCAUAGAUGCCGACUGAAGUCGUCAAUAACCAUCAAGAGAUAUCGCACUCCCGAAUUAUGUUUGGAUAGAGAUGUCAUGUCUGCCAAAUCAGCAUCGUACUGUUCACAUGGCCCACCAACUUCAACACGUGCACGUUUAAAAGAACGUCUAACUGGUUUUUGUAAACUAUAAUCAUCAAGACUAAAUAUAUAUCUUCUGAUCUUAUGUAUGCCGAGGGUUUUAAUACCUUGCGAUUUCAAUAUUUGGUGAAUCUUCACGGGACUGAGAAAUGCACCACCAUUCUCCAAAUUAUAAUAUACGUCAUAUAUAAGUCGUCUCUCUUCCUCAGUCAACAUAUUUGAAAAUAAUGAGACAAAAACAUUUAUGUACAAACUUUUAUUAACAUUGUUACAUAUUACAACGUUUUGUGAAACCAAUCUUCUACACGAUUCAUGAACAUGACCAUUAUACCGACUUUCUCUUUCCAUUUUUCUGUUUUAAGUUCAUUACUUCUCCAUUCGGUAUUACAUAACUGUGAAAUGAAAGCAUUUCUAGCACUUAUCUGGAUUUCAAAACGAACAGUCUCUUGAAUAAUGUUACGAAUCACUUUAAUGUCAUCCACUUGAA